UACGAAGGGGGCUAGCGUUGCUCGGAAUCACUGGGCGUAAAGGGUGCGUAGGCGGCUUGGUAGGUCUGGUGUGAAAGCCCCGGGCUCAGCCCGGGAAGGGCACUAGAAACUGCCAAGCUAGAGUGCCGGAGGGGAGAGUGGAAUUCCUGGUGUAGCGGUGAAAUGCGUAGAGAUCAGGAGGAAUACCGGUGGCGAAAGCGACUCUCUGGACGGCAACUGACGCUGAGGCACGAAAGCGUGGGGAGCAAACAGG
This 253-nucleotide ribosomal RNA is filed under the name uncultured bacterium. RNAcentral's name for it is "partial 16S ribosomal RNA". It matches the Rfam family "Bacterial small subunit ribosomal RNA", at positions 524 to 776 of the family's 1533-position model. The record is from RNAcentral.